This 2908-nucleotide ribosomal RNA is filed under the name freshwater metagenome. RNAcentral describes it as "bacterial LSU rRNA". It matches the Rfam family "Bacterial large subunit ribosomal RNA". The record is from RNAcentral.
AUAAGCUUUUAAGGGCUAAUGGUGGAUGCCUUGACUGAUGGAGGCGAUGAAAGACGUACUAGGCUGCGAUAAGCCUCGGGGAGCUGCCAAGAAGCUUUGAUCCGUGGAUUUCUGAAUGGGGCAACCCGGCAUAUAGAGAUAUAUGUCACCCUGCGGGGAGCGAACCUUGGGAACUGAAACAUCUAAGUACCAAGAGGAAUAUAAAUCAAACGAGAUUCCCCAAGUAGCGGCGAGCGAACGGGGACUAGGGCAAACCCAGUGCUUGCACUGGGGGUUGUGGACUGCAACAUUGAAUAACAAUCGAUAAUAGAAGGAAUUGGAAAGUUCCACCAUAGUGGGUGAUAGUCCCGUAUAUGAAAUCUUUUGUUUACAUAGCAGUAUCCAGAGUAGGUCGGAACACGAGAAAUUUUGACUGAAGCUGGGGGGACCACCCUCCAACCCUAAAUACUACCAUCAGAUCGAUAGCGAACAAGUACCGUGAGGGAAAGGUGAAAAGAACUGGAGCGACCAGAGUGAAAUAGAACCUGAAACCAUUAGCUUACAAUUAUUCAGAGCCCUAUUGUUUACAAGGGUGAUGGACUGCCUUUUGCAUAAUGAGCCUGCGAGUUAUGAUUAGUGGCGAGGUUAAGUAAUUACGAAGCCGUAGCGAAAGCGAGUGUUAAUAGCGCGACAUAGUCACUAGUUGUAGACCCGAAACGGGAUGAUCUAUCCAUGGCCAAGUUGAAGCUGGUGUAAAAGCUAGUGGAGGACUGAACUCGUGCCCAUUGAAACGGGCUGGGAUGAGCUGUGGAUAGGGGUGAAAGGCCAAUCAAAUUCCGUGAUAGCUGGUUCUCUCCGAAAUAUAUUUAGGUAUAGCCUCUAGAAGUAACACAUAGGGGUAGAGCACUGAUUGGGCUAGGGCUGCUCACCGCGGUACCAAACCCUGUCAAACUCCGAAUACUAUGUGUGGUAUCUAGGGAGACAGGCGGUGGGUGAUAAAAUCAAUCGUCGAGAGGGGAACAACCCAGACUACCAGCUAAGGUCCCUAAGUCACAUCUAAGUGGAAAACGAUGUGGAGUUACUCAGACAACCAGGAGGUUGGCUUAGAAGCAGCCAUCCUUUAAAGAUAGCGUAACAGCUCACUGGUCUAGUGAUUCUGCGCGGAAAAUAUAACGGGGCUAAGAUGUGCACCGAAGCUGUAGAUUCUAAUUUAUUAGAGUGGUAGGAGAGCGUUCGUAUCAGCGUUGAAGGUAUACCGGUAAGGAGUGCUGGAGCGAUACGAAGUGAGCAUGCAGGCAUGAGUAGCGAUAAAACAGAUGAGAAUUCUGUUCGCCGUAAACCCAAGGUUUCCUACGCUAUGAUCGUCAUCGUAGGGUUAGUCAGGUCCUAAGUCGAGUCCGAAAGGGGUAGACGAUGGCAAAUCGGUUAAUAUUCCGAUACUAACAAAUAAGCGCGAUGGGGGGACGCAUAGGGCUAGGGGAGCUAACUGAUGGAAUAGUUAGUCGAAGGAUGUAGGUUGUUGUUCAGGCAAAUCCGGACAACAUUAGACCGAGAUCUUACAGGCUCUUCAAGGUCUUCGGACUGCGAAGAGAAUCCUUGAUGCCGUCGUGCCAAGAAAAGCCUCUAAGUUUAUUAUUUGUUACCUGUACCGUAAACCGACACAGGUGGGUGAGAUGAGUAUUCUAAGGCGCGUGGAAGAACCCUGGUUAAGGAACUCUGCAAACUAACACCGUAUCUUCGGUAUAAGGUGUGCCUUGUGUGUGUAAGGGCUUGCCCCUGAAGCACUAUAAGGUUGCAACAAAGAGUCCCUCCCGACUGUUUACCAAAAACACAGCACUAUGCUAACACGAAAGUGGAUGUAUAUGGUGUGACGCCUGCCCGGUGCUGGAAGGUUAAUUGAUGGUGUCAGAGCAAUCGAAGCACUUGAUCGAAGCCCCAGUAAACGGCGGCCGUAACUAUAACGGUCCUAAGGUAGCGAAAUUCCUUGUCGGUUAAAUACUGACCUGCAUGAAUGGCGUAACGAGAUGGGAGCUGUCUCAACCAGGGAUCCAGUGAAAUUAUAGUGGAGGUGAAAAUUCCUCCUACCCGCGGAAAGACGGAAAGACCCCGUGCACCUUUACUAUAGCUUGACACUGUAGUUUGAAUAUUCAUGUGCAGGAUAGGUGGGAGGCUUUGAUGAUGUGACGCCAGUUGCAUCGGAGCCAUCGUUGAGAUACCACCCUUGAAUAUUUGGAUUACUAACUGCGAUGAGUUAUCCUCAUCCAGGACAAUGUCUGGUGGGUAGUUUGACUGGGGCGGUCGCCUCCUAAAAAGUAACGGAGGCUUGCAAAGUUCGGCUCAAACUGGUUGGAAAUCAGUUGUUGAGUGUAAUGGCAUAAGCCGGACUGACUGUGAGACAGACAAGUCGAACAGAGUCGAAAGACGGUCAUAGUGAUCCGGUGGUUCUGCGUGGAAGGGCCAUCGCUCAAAGGAUAAAAGGUACGCCGGGGAUAACAGGCUGAUCUCCCCCAAGAGCUCACAUCGACGGGGAGGUUUGGCACCUCGAUGUCGGCUCAUCGCAUCCUGGGGCUGAAGUAGGUCCCAAGGGUAUGGCUGUUCGCCAUUUAAAGCGGUACGCGAGCUGGGUUCAGAACGUCGUGAGACAGUUCGGUCCCUAUCUUCCGUGGGCGUAGGAAAGUUGAAGAGAUUUGUCCCUAGUACGAGAGGACCGGGAUGAACGUGCCACUAGUGUACCAGUUGUUCUGCCAAGGGCAUCGCUGGGUAGCUACGCACGGAUGUGAUAAGAGCUGAAAGCAUCUAAGCUCGAAGCCAACUCUAAGAUGAACUUUCCCUGAAGAUCCCUCAAAGACUAUGAGGUUGAUAGGCUAGGUGUGUAAUCAUAGCAAUAUGUUUAGCUGACUAGUACUAAUAGAUCGUUUGGCUUAUUUAU